GUGAAAGCCCACGGCUCAACCGUGGAGGGUCAUUGGAAACUGGGGAACUUGAGUGCAGAAGAGAAAAGCGGAAUUCCACGUGUAGCGGUGAAAUGCGUAGAGAUGUGGAGGAACACCAGUGGCGAAGGCGGCUUUUUGGUCUGUAACUGACGCUGAGGCGCGAAAGCGUGGGGAGCAAACAGGAUUAGAUACCCUGGUAGUCCACGCCGUAAACGAUGAGUGCUAAGUGUUAGAGGGUUUCCGCCCUUUAGUGCUGCAGCUAACGCAUUAAGCACUCCGCCUGGGGAGUACGGUCGCAAGACUGAAACU
Molecule: ribosomal RNA, 309 nt
Filed under: uncultured Bacillus sp.
Lineage: Bacteria; Bacillati; Bacillota; Bacilli; Caryophanales; Bacillaceae
Description: bacterial SSU rRNA
Rfam family: Bacterial small subunit ribosomal RNA
Source: RNAcentral